Molecule: ribosomal RNA, 252 nt
Filed under: uncultured archaeon
Lineage: Archaea
Description: partial 16S ribosomal RNA
Rfam family: Archaeal small subunit ribosomal RNA
Source: RNAcentral
ANACUACCCUGUAGUCCUAGCCGUAAACGAUACUCGCUAGGUGUCGGCCACGGUGCGACCGUUGUCGGUGCCGUAGGGAAGCCGUGAAGCGAGCCACCUGGGAAGUACGGCCGCAAGGCUGAAACUUAAAGGAAUUGGCGGGGGAGCACCACAACGGGUGGAGCUUGCGGUUUAAUUGGAUUCAACGCCGGACAUCUCACCGGAUAAGACAGCAGAAUGAUGGCCAGGUUGAUGACCUUGCUUGACAAGCUG